GUUGGUGGGGUAACGGCCUACCAAGGCGAUUACGGGUAGCCGGCCUGAGAGGGCGACCGGCCACACUGGGACUGAGACACGGCCCAGACUCCUGCGGGAGGCAGCAGUGGGGAAUAUUGCGCAAUGGGCGAAAGCCUGACGCAGCGACGCCGCGUGGGGGAUGACGGCCUUCGGGUUGUAAACCUCUUUUACCACCAACGCAGGCUCGAAGUUCUCUUCGGGUUGACGGUAGGUGGGGAAUAAGGACCGGCUAACUACGUGCCAGCAGCCGCGGUAAUACGUAGGGUCCGAGCGUUGUCCGGAAUUAUUGGGCGUAAAGAGCUCGUAGGCGGCGUGUCACGUCUGCUGUGAAAGACCGGGGCUUAACUCCGGUUCUGCAGUGGAUACGGGCAUGCUAGAGGUAGGUAGGGGAGACUGGAAUUCCUGGUGUAGCGGUGAAAUGCGCAGAUAUCAGGAGGAACACCGGUGGCGAAGGCGGGUCUCUGGGCCUUACCUGACGCUGAGGAGCGAAAGCAUGGGGAGCGAACAGGAUUANAUACCCUGGUAGUCCAUGCCGUAAACGUUGGGCGCUANGUGUGGGGACUUUCCACGGUUUCCGCGCCGUANCUAACGCAUUAAGCGCCCCGCCNGGGGGAGUACGGCCGCAAGGCUAAAACUCAAANGAAUUGACGGGGGCCCGCACAANCGGCNGANCAUGUUNCUUANNUCNACGC
RNAcentral lists this ribosomal RNA (713 nucleotides) under Nocardiopsis sp. Its description in RNAcentral is "bacterial SSU rRNA". It matches the Rfam family "Bacterial small subunit ribosomal RNA", at positions 248 to 957 of the family's 1533-position model. Lineage: Bacteria; Bacillati; Actinomycetota; Actinomycetes; Streptosporangiales; Nocardiopsidaceae. The record is from RNAcentral.